Molecule: ribosomal RNA, 492 nt
Filed under: uncultured bacterium
Lineage: Bacteria
Description: partial 16S ribosomal RNA
Rfam family: Bacterial small subunit ribosomal RNA
Source: RNAcentral
AGUGGACGCUGGCGGUAGGCCUAACACAUGCAAGUCGAACGGCGGCACAGUAAGAGCUUGCUCUUACGGGUGGCGAGUGGCGGACGGGUGAGGAAUACAUCGGAAUCUACUUUUUCGUGGGUGAUAACGUAGGGAAACUUACGCUAAUACCGCAUACGACCUACGGGUGAAAGCAGGGGAUCUUCGGACCUUGCGCGAUUGAAUGAGCCGAUGUCGGAUUAGCUAGUUGGCGGGGUAAAGGCCCACCAAGGCGACGAUCCGUAGCUGGUCUGAGAGGAUGAUCAGCCACACUGGAACUGAGACACGGUCCAGACUCCUACGGGAGGCAGCAGUGGGGAAUAUUGGACAAUGGGCGCAAGCCUGAUCCAGCCAUACCGCGUGGGUGAAGAAGGCCUUCGGGUUGUAAAGCCCUUUUGUUGGGAAAGAAAAGCAGCAGGUUAAUACCCCGCUGUUCUGACGGUACCCAAAGAAUAAGCACCGGCUAACUUCGUG